UGUAUUCUGGUUAAAGGGAUUGUGGCCGAUUUACCAGUAUCUGUUAACCACUGCGCAAACUCCAUCUGGUGGAUAGCCAGCACAGGGCGCUAUUAAAAAAAAACAGGAGCAGUUUUGACCAGUUUUUCAACGGACGUUUCGGUUUGGUAUCCCUAGAGACACAACCGUUUGAUGGAUUAGUGAUUGACGCUGAUUGUAAAAAUACCCGCUGGUGACUUAUUCUUGACGGCUCUCUGGAAGGAUUAUAACCAUCAGAAGGGAAUUGUUUUACAUUAGUAGUGAGGUCGCCAAUGUGUAGAGUGAUUGACUAUUAAGUGCAGUAUGACUGCGCGAGAGACAACGUUAGUCCGUUGAGAGAUACCCGAACUAUACCCACCUUGGAUUUGGAUUAUAAACCCAGGACAAUAUUACUUGUACGAUGUCGAAAUCACAGAAACGGAAAGCCACGAUACGGAGGCCAGGUCACAGCCACCAGGGCUCUAGGAAGCCAAAUUCAACUCAUGGGCAGGAUAAGAAGCAGGU
Asterias rubens (European starfish) is the source of this 522-nucleotide long non-coding RNA. RefSeq lists it as uncharacterized. The transcript is spliced from 3 exons. Lineage: Eukaryota; Metazoa; Echinodermata; Asteroidea; Forcipulatida; Asteriidae. The record is from RefSeq and is a predicted model, not a curated record.